CUGCGAGCGUGACGGCGCGAGCAGGUGCGAAAGCAGGUCAUAGUGAUCCGGUGGUUCUGAAUGGAAGGGCCAUCGCUCAACGGAUAAAAGGUACUCCGGGGAUAACAGGCUGAUACCGCCCAAGAGUUCAUAUCGACGGCGGUGUUUGGCACCUCGAUGUCGGCUCAUCACAUCCUGGGGCUGAAGUAGGUCCCAAGGGUAUGGCUGUUCGCCAUUUAAAGUGGUACGCGAGCUGGGUUUAGAACGUCGUGAGACAGUUCGGUCCCUAUCUGCCGUGGGCGCUGGAGAAUUGAGGGGGGCUGCUCCUAGUACGAGAGGACCGGAGUGGACGCAUCACUGGUGUUCGGGUUGUCAUGCCAAUGGCACUGCCCGGUAGCUAAAUGCGGAAGAGAUAAGUGCUGAAAGCAUCUAAGCACGAAACUUGCCCCGAGAUGAGUUCUCCCUGAGACUU
Molecule: ribosomal RNA, 451 nt
Filed under: Klebsiella pneumoniae
Lineage: Bacteria; Pseudomonadati; Pseudomonadota; Gammaproteobacteria; Enterobacterales; Enterobacteriaceae
Also listed under: 1 other name
Description: partial 23S ribosomal RNA
Rfam family: Bacterial large subunit ribosomal RNA
Source: RNAcentral